Molecule: ribosomal RNA, 497 nt
Filed under: uncultured bacterium
Lineage: Bacteria
Description: partial 16S ribosomal RNA
Rfam family: Bacterial small subunit ribosomal RNA
Source: RNAcentral
GAUGAACGCUGGCGGCGUGCCUAAUACAUGCAAGUCGAGCGAACAGACGAGGAGCUUGCUCCUCUGACGUUAGCGGCGGACGGGUGAGUAACACGUGGAUAACCUACCUAUCAGACUGGGAUCACUUCGGGAAACCGGAGCUAAUACCGGAUAAUAUAUUGAACCGCAUGGUUCAAUAGUGAAAGACGGUUUUGCUGUCACUUAUAGAUGGAUCCGCGCCGCAUUAGCUAGUUGGUAAGGUAACGGCUUACCAAGGCAACGAUGCGUAGCCGACCUGAGAGGGUGAUCGGCCACACUGGAACUGAGACACGGUCCAGACUCCUACGGGAGGCAGCAGUAGGGAAUCUUCCGCAAUGGGCGAAAGCCUGACGGAGCAACGCCGCGUGAGUGAUGAAGGUCUUCGGAUCGUAAAACUCUGUUAUUAGGGAAGAACAAAUGUGUAAGUAACUAUGCACGUCUUGACGGUACCUAAUCAGAAAGCCGCGGCUAACUACGUG